RNAcentral lists this ribosomal RNA (138 nucleotides) under uncultured bacterium. RNAcentral's name for it is "partial 16S ribosomal RNA". It matches the Rfam family "Bacterial small subunit ribosomal RNA", at positions 355 to 509 of the family's 1533-position model. The record is from RNAcentral.
UCGGGAAUAUUGCGCAAUGGAGGAAACUCUGACGCAGUGACGCCGCGUGCAGGAAGAAGGUUUUCGGAUUGUAAACUGCUUUAGACAGGGAAGAACAAAGACAGUACCUGUAGAAUAAGCUCCGGCUAACUACGUGCC